RNAcentral lists this ribosomal RNA (494 nucleotides) under uncultured bacterium. RNAcentral describes it as "partial 16S ribosomal RNA". It matches the Rfam family "Bacterial small subunit ribosomal RNA", at positions 28 to 507 of the family's 1533-position model. The record is from RNAcentral.
GACGAACGCUGGCGACGCGCUUAACACAUGCAAGUCGAACGGAAAGGCCUGCUUUCCCUUGUGGAUUGCGGGUACUCGAGUGGCGAACGGGUGAGUAACACGUGAGUGAUCUGCCCCCAACUUGGGUAUAAGCCUGGGAAACUGGGUCUAAUUCCCGAUAGGACUGCAGGGUGGUGCCUGUGGUGGAAAACGAUUUUCUAGUGGUUGGGGAUGAGCUCGCGGCCUAUCAGCUUGUUGGUGGGGUAAUGGCCUACCAAGGCGGCGACGGGUAGCCGGCCUGAGAGGGUGGACGGCCACAUUGGGACUGAGAUACGGCCCAGACUCCUACGGGAGGCAGCAGUGGGGAAUAUUGCACAAUGGGCGGAAGCCUGAUGCAGCGACGCCGCGUGGGGGAUGACGGCCUUCGGAUUGUAAACUCCUUUCGACCGCGAGGAAGCCACCUGGUUGGAAGGGUGGUGACGGUAGUGGUAGAAGAAGCACCGGCUAACUACGUG